GACGAACCUUGCAAACGUUAUUCGGAAUCACUGGGCUUAAAGGGUGCGUAGGCUGUGCAGAAAGUUGGGUGUGAAAUACCUCGGCUUAACCGAGGAAUUGCGCCCAAAACUACUGUGCUCGAGGAAGAUAGAGGUGAGCGGAACUUAGGGUGGAGCGGUGAAAUGCGUUGAUAUCCUAAGGAACACCGGUGGCGAAGGCGGGUCUCUGGGCAGUAACUGACACUAAGACUCGAAAGCGUGGGGAGCAAACAGG
This 253-nucleotide ribosomal RNA is filed under the name uncultured bacterium. RNAcentral describes it as "partial 16S ribosomal RNA". It matches the Rfam family "Bacterial small subunit ribosomal RNA", at positions 524 to 776 of the family's 1533-position model. The record is from RNAcentral.